Molecule: ribosomal RNA, 510 nt
Filed under: uncultured soil bacterium
Lineage: Bacteria
Description: bacterial SSU rRNA
Rfam family: Bacterial small subunit ribosomal RNA
Source: RNAcentral
AACGAACGCUGGCGGCGUGCCUAACACAUGCAAGUCGAACGAGAAGUACGUAGCAAUACGUAUUGUAAAGUGGCGCACGGGUGAGUAACACGUGGGUAAUCUGCCCUUGAGUUUGGGAUAACCCCGCGAAAGCGGGGCUAAUACCGAAUAAGACCACGGGGACCAAAGUCCCUGAGGUAAAAGGUGGCCUCUAUUUAUAAGCUACCACUUGAGGAUGAGCCCGCGGCCCAUUAGCUAGUUGGCGGGGUAACGGCCCACCAAGGCAAUGAUGGGUAGCUGGUCUGAGAGGACGAUCAGCCACACUGGAACUGAGACACGGUCCAGACUCCUACGGGAGGCAGCAGUGGGGAAUAUUGCGCAAUGGGCGAAAGCCUGACGCAGCAACGCCGCGUGGGGGAUGAAGGUUCUCGGAUUGUAAACCCCUUUCGACCGGAACGAAUCUCCUCUUGGUAAAUAAUCAAGAGGAUCGACGGUACCGGGAGAAGAAGCCACGGCUAACUCUGUGCCAGC